RNAcentral lists this ribosomal RNA (440 nucleotides) under uncultured bacterium. RNAcentral's name for it is "partial 16S ribosomal RNA". It matches the Rfam family "Bacterial small subunit ribosomal RNA", at positions 338 to 795 of the family's 1533-position model. The record is from RNAcentral.
CCUACGGGUGGCAGCAGUGGGGGAUAUUGCACAAUGGGGGGAACCCUGAUGCAGCGACGCCGCGUGGGUGAAGAAGCGCCUCGGCGUGUAAAGCCCUGUCAGUAGGGAAGAAAACGUCGGUACCUGUAGAAGAAGUCCAGGCUAUCUACGUGCCAGCAGCCGCGGUAAUACGCCGGGCGCAAGCGUUAUCCGGAUUUACUGGGCGGAAAGGGGGCGCAGACGGCGAUGCAAGCCAGGCGUGAAAGCCCGGGGCUCAACCCCGGGAUUGCGUUUGGAACUGCGUGGCUGGAGUGCAGGAGGGGCAGGCGGAAUUCCAGGUGUAGCGGUGAAAUGCGUAGAUAUCAGGAGGAACACCGAUGGCGAAGGCAGCCUGCUGGACUGCAACUGACGUUGAGGCCCGAAAGCGUGGGGAGCAAACAGGAUUAGAUACCCCUGUAGUC